RNAcentral lists this long non-coding RNA (821 nucleotides) under Homo sapiens (human). Its description in RNAcentral is "HSALNT0171607". Lineage: Eukaryota; Metazoa; Chordata; Mammalia; Primates; Hominidae. The record is from RNAcentral.
GCUGAGAUGUUUAGCCAUCUCAUUCAAAUGCAGACACAUUAUCCUUACGACCAGGGUUGCACAUAUACCCUGUGGUAACGGGUGAGUUAUUCCCUCAUAUAAGGACCAGUUACAUAUAUAUUAAAAGCAGCUCAGUCUUUCUGUUUCUUAGGAAGUAAAGGAGUAUAAGAAGGGUUACUCUACUCUUUUACUUAUGGAGAGGACACAGAGUUACCAGUGAAAAUGGGGGAAAUACUGUAAAUAGUGAACUCUUAAAAAAAGAAACUGUGAACAACUAGAGAUGAUUCCUACAGAGGAGGAGACAGAUUCAGGGGAGAUAGCUCAAAAUAAGUAAUGUGUCCUUGUCAGGAAAAAAAAAAUGCUGGCAUUUGGUAAACUGUAGGUGUUAUUAUUUUCAGGGAACCUAGGAAUAACUGAAUUGUGUAUCACACCAAAGCUGUACAUCCCCAUUAAGUUCCGAAGAGAAAUCUUCCUACAAGGAGUAAUGGAAAAUGGGAAGCCAAAUAGACUGGGCCCUUAGCUUUAAGGCUGAGAAUGCAUCUAAGUUGUACUGGAGGACACAGUUAAGGGGCUUCUAUUUCAUGUUCCUUCUUAGAAGCCCCAAGGCACAAUCUCAGAAUUGUGCAUCUACUGGGAGUGGCCCAAAGGCAAUUUGCCAUUUUGUGAAAAAGUGGAAAAGAAAGGAGAGAGAACCAACAUACGGGCAAUUUUUAAAUCUACAAUCACCUUUUUCAUUAUUAAAUGUGGCCCAAUUAGUGAUCUGGAUCCAACUAAUCAAAAUGAUGUUCCUUUUUGGUAGGAAGAAUUCAGAAAAGGCAGGC